RNAcentral lists this ribosomal RNA (497 nucleotides) under uncultured bacterium. Its description in RNAcentral is "partial 16S ribosomal RNA". It matches the Rfam family "Bacterial small subunit ribosomal RNA", at positions 28 to 507 of the family's 1533-position model. The record is from RNAcentral.
GAUGAACGCUGGCGGCGUGCCUAAUACAUGCAAGUCGAGCGAACGGACGAGAAGCUUGCUUCUCUGAUGUUAGCGGCGGACGGGUGAGUAACACGUGGAUAACCUACCUAUAAGACUGGGAUAACUUCGGGAAACCGGAGCUAAUACCGGAUAAUAUUUUGAGCCGCAUGGUUCAAAAGUGAAAGACGGUCUUGCUGUCACUUAUAGAUGGAUCUGCGCUGCAUUAGCUAGUUGGUAAGGUAACGGCUUACCAAGGCAACGAUGCAUAGCCGACCUGAGAGGGUGAUCGGCCACACUGGAACUGAGACACGGUCCAGACUCCUACGGGAGGCAGCAGUAGGGAAUCUUCCGCAAUGGGCGAAAGCCUGACGGAGCAACGCCGCGUGAGUGAUGAAGGUCUUCGGAUCGUAAAACUCUGUUAUUAGGGAAGAACAUAUGUGUAAGUAACUGUGCACAUCUUGACGGUACCUAAUCAGAAAGCCACGGCUAACUACGUG